This 253-nucleotide ribosomal RNA is filed under the name uncultured bacterium. Its description in RNAcentral is "partial 16S ribosomal RNA". It matches the Rfam family "Bacterial small subunit ribosomal RNA", at positions 524 to 776 of the family's 1533-position model. The record is from RNAcentral.
UACGUAGGGAGCAAGCGUUGUCCGGAAUCAUUGGGCGUAAAGAGUGCGUAGGCGGCGCGGUAAGUCGGGUGUGAAAUCUCGGGGCUUAACUCCGAAACUGCAUUCGAUACUACCGUGCUUGAGGACUGGAGAGGAGACUGGAAUUUACGGUGUAGCGGUGAAAUGCGUAGAUAUCGUAAGGAAGACCAGUGGCGAAGGCGGGUCUCUGGACAGUUCCUGACGCUGAGGCACGAAGGCCAGGGGAGCAAACGGG